UCCAAGGCUAAAUACUCCUGACUGACCGAUAGUGAACCAGUACCGUGAGGGAAAGGCGAAAAGAACCCCGGCGAGGGGAGUGAAAAAGAACCUGAAACCGUGUACGUACAAGCAGUGGGAGCCUCUUUAUGGGGUGACUGCGUACCUUUUGUAUAAUGGGUCAGCGACUUAUAUUCUGUAGCAAGGUUAACCGAAUAGGGGAGCCGAAGGGAAACCGAGUCUUAACUGGGCGUUAAGUUGCAGGGUAUAGACCCGAAAC
RNAcentral lists this ribosomal RNA (259 nucleotides) under Escherichia coli. Its description in RNAcentral is "partial 23S ribosomal RNA". It matches the Rfam family "Bacterial large subunit ribosomal RNA", at positions 459 to 721 of the family's 2925-position model. The record is from RNAcentral. Lineage: Bacteria; Pseudomonadati; Pseudomonadota; Gammaproteobacteria; Enterobacterales; Enterobacteriaceae.